UACAGAGGGGGCAAGCGUUGUCCGGAAUUACUGGGCGUACAGCGCGCGCAGGCGGUGGCUGACGUGCCGUGUGACAAGCGGGGGCUCAACCCCCGAGGGCCACGGUAAACGGGGCGACUGGAGGGAGGGAGGGGAUGUGGAAUGCCCGGUGGAGCGGUGAAAUGCGUAGAGAUCGGGCGGAACACCAGCGGCGAAGGCGGCAUCCUGGCCCUCACCUGACGCUGAGGCGCGAGAGCGUGGGGAGCAAACCGG
Molecule: ribosomal RNA, 252 nt
Filed under: uncultured bacterium
Lineage: Bacteria
Description: partial 16S ribosomal RNA
Rfam family: Bacterial small subunit ribosomal RNA
Source: RNAcentral